RNAcentral lists this transfer RNA (72 nucleotides) under Dipodomys ordii (Ord's kangaroo rat). It matches the Rfam family "tRNA". Rfam says of the family: Transfer RNA (tRNA) molecules are approximately 80 nucleotides in length. Their secondary structure includes four short double-helical elements and three loops (D, anti-codon, and T loops). Further hydrogen bonds mediate the characteristic L-shaped molecular structure. tRNAs have two regions of fundamental functional importance: the anti-codon, which is responsible for specific mRNA codon recognition, and the 3' end, to which the tRNAs corresponding amino acid is attached (by aminoacyl-tRNA synthetases). tRNAs cope with the degeneracy of the genetic code in two manners: having more than one tRNA (with a specific anti-codon) for a particular amino acid; and 'wobble' base-pairing, i.e. permitting non-standard base-pairing at the 3rd anti-codon position. The record is from Rfam by way of RNAcentral. Lineage: Eukaryota; Metazoa; Chordata; Mammalia; Rodentia; Heteromyidae.
GGAGGCAUGGCUCAGGGAUAGAGUACUUGUCUAGCAAGUGCAACACCCUGAGUUCAAACCUCAGUACUGCCC